Molecule: ribosomal RNA, 252 nt
Filed under: uncultured bacterium
Lineage: Bacteria
Description: partial 16S ribosomal RNA
Rfam family: Bacterial small subunit ribosomal RNA
Source: RNAcentral
UACGUAGGGUGCAAGCGUUGUCCGGAAUUAUUGGGCGUAAAGAGCUCGUAGGCGGUCUGUCGCGUCGGAUGUGAAAAUCAAGGGCUCAACCCUGGACCUGCAUUCGAUACGGGCAGACUAGAGUUCGGCAGGGGAGACUGGAAUUCCUGGUGCGCGGUGAAAUGCGCAGAUAUCAGGAGGAACACCGGUGGCGAAGGCGGCAUCCUGGACCAAUUCUGACGCUGAGGAGCGAAAGCUAGGGGAGCAAACGGG